Danio aesculapii is the source of this 823-nucleotide long non-coding RNA. RefSeq lists it as uncharacterized. The record is from RefSeq and is a predicted model, not a curated record. The transcript is spliced from 3 exons. NCBI's taxonomy places the organism in Eukaryota, Metazoa, Chordata, Actinopteri, Cypriniformes, Danionidae.
CAGAGUAGAAUACAGCAGAAACGGUUGUUAGUUUUGGCGUAAUUUAUCAUCAUUGUGCUAUAUUAUUGCGUUUAUGGGAAGUGCACAAACUCCAGCCUGUCAGCAUAUCAAGUCCACAAGUUUCCCAUUGCUAUUUUGGUUCGUGAAAUGGGAUGAAUCCGAUAAGACCGAGCUGACACGAAAACGGCAAAAAACACUCCUGGAUCAGUCGGAGAUGCUGCUUGAUGAAAGCGAGAACUGUACACGGAGAUGCAUCUGCAGCAGUGAUGCUGACCUGGAGCUGAAGGCUUUCUCUCCACAGGUCUCUCACUCAACUGUGCUUCACUUUGGCUCACAGAGUAACCUUAACUAAGCAUAUUUGCAUCAGCCCUCACUGUGUGUCUGACGGUGAAAUACCGGUGGAGGUCAUCGGUGAAGGUCAUCACAGGCUCGACGAGAAUGCAGAACUGUCCACUACAUUUGCUCUCCUUUCUAGAUCCUUCCAGCUGGUUUACAAGAAUGAGGCUGUCGGCAUCUUUUUACACAGCAUUCACAAUUUAGCACACAUUAAAGACAUGAUAGUGUGGUACUCACGUAAUUGUUGGCCCACUUACUGAAAAAUAAUUUUAAUAAGGUUUACUUUUAAAUGGGUCAGAUGAUAUAUUUUUCUUUCAGUAUUAUGUUACCUACUCAUACACACAUUCACACAGUUUCUUAUACAUAUAUAAAGAGUAAAAAUGUUGGGUAUUAACACUGCUUAUGAUUUUGUGAUAUGUAAAUAAAACUUGAUCUUGAGCUGCAUUAGAAUUUAAACUUGAAUUUGGGUUGAAGUUUAUUUAACCAU